RNAcentral lists this ribosomal RNA (200 nucleotides) under uncultured bacterium. RNAcentral describes it as "partial 16S ribosomal RNA". It matches the Rfam family "Bacterial small subunit ribosomal RNA", at positions 326 to 539 of the family's 1533-position model. The record is from RNAcentral.
ACGCUCGACACCUACGGGAUGCAGCAGUCGGGAAUAUUGCGCAAUGGAGGAAACUCUGACGCAGUGACGCCGCGUGCAGGAAGAAGGUUUUCGGAUUGUAAACUGCUUUAGACAGGGAAGAAGAAGUGACAGUACCUGUAGAAUAAGCUCCGGCUAACUACGUGCCAGCAGCCGCGGUAAUCUGAGCGGGCUGGCAAGGC